GGUGAGUAACACGUGGGUGAUCUGCCCUGCACUUCGGGAUAAGCUUGGGAAACUGGGUCUAAUACCGGAUAGGAACCAUCUUUAGUGUGGUGGUUGGAAAGUUUUUUCGGUGUAGGAUGAGCUCGCGGCCUAUCAGCUUGUUGGUGGGGUAAUGGCCUACCAAGGCGGCGACGGGUAGCCGGCCUGAGAGGGUGUACGGCCACAUUGGGACUGAGAUACGGCCCAG
This 226-nucleotide ribosomal RNA is filed under the name uncultured Actinomycetales bacterium. Its description in RNAcentral is "partial 16S ribosomal RNA". It matches the Rfam family "Bacterial small subunit ribosomal RNA", at positions 105 to 334 of the family's 1533-position model. Lineage: Bacteria; Bacillati; Actinomycetota; Actinomycetes; Actinomycetales. The record is from RNAcentral.